UUUCCAAAAGGGUUCUUUUAAUUAGAAGCAAGUUUGCAAAAGAAGAAGUAACUUUCUCAUAUAAAAUUGUGGAGUGGUGAAGGUGAGGCUAACAAGAGGUGUGGAACAAAAAUCCAGGGCAAAUCCCCAAGGAGACACUGAAUUAAAAGCAACGAUCCGAUAACUGUAGUACACUGAAGGGUAACUCAAACACAGCUGUGUAAGGUGGUCCUACCCCUAAACUGACAGCAGAUACCAAAUCAGAGGACGGACUCCAUCCCAAGAGUGGCAAAGUGACCAGCUACAAACUCACCACAACACGGUGUCCUUGCCCCUUUCUGCUACCCAAGAGCUCCCACCACACUGUGACAGGUCCCAGCACUUCCCAGGAGCACAACGACAUCAAAGGGGAAGCACUGGUGGCACUUCCUGGCUGCCCCUCCUGCAGAAUGCCACCACAUGGUAGCAGAAAGGUGUCAUUCCCAGAUCUACAGAAUAGGACGUAAAUGGGAAAACACUCCGAUAUAAAGCUCUGUAACCCCAUUCCAGUCUCUAUGUCCAGCGAUUCAAGCCCCAAGAAAGUGCACAGUGAUCAAACAGCAUCAAAACAAUGAAUUUUCUGCCAAGUCAUGAGACUCCAAGGCCAUUUAAAAUGGGGAAGUGGCAGCUUUGAGAAGAUAGAAUUCUGAGUCAGAGCCUAAAUCUCAAGUCCCAGUGGUAUCUCACUCCUUGUUCAAACAGAUCUCACCUGUCCAAUGCGUUAUGUGUGUGCUUAUCAGUUGUGGCUCUCUUCUACCAGGAGCAGCAAACUUUACACCUUCACAAAGUACAAAGCCAACUUUAUCUGAGAGGGCUAGGGGUGGAGAUAUCAGGGAGAAGAAAAGGGAUACAGAAGUACAAAGAACUGAAAGGAUUGUCAGGUGGAGCCAUUUAAUGCCAAUGCCCAGCCCAACAUGUUCAGUCUUGGGGUGAACGUGCUCCUAAUUCGAGGGUGGUUUUCCAUAAGGAGGUUUUAAUGGUUACUGUACAACCACAUGGUCAUGCAUGUGGCUUUGUGUAAACACCGCAGCAACAUACCUCUCCCCAUGUGACCUGUAGUAUUGUCAUGAUGACGUAUGGACUCCAAACGUGCCAGCAAAACCCUAUAAAAACAACCUAAGAAAUGCAGUUGAACUAACAGGAACUCUAGGUUGAAUGAAGCUGUUUGCAGUACAACCUGCUGAUCCAGCAACUGCUCUGUGUUGGCUUUUCCGCUCCAAAUAAAACCCCACAUUGCACGUGCCCUUCCGGCUGCUAUUGACAAAGGAGAUCACUAAACAUAGGAGGUCUAGGGAUCAUAUUCAGUCUUAAAUGUCACAGGUUUCUAGGACUUCAAGAUUUCCAGUGGCCCUGCUAAGGGUUAUCUUUCUUGUGGGAUGUUUUGGGGUUUUAGUUUUUGACAUAUCCCAUUAAAUUCCUUUUCUAAAAGGAUUUUUCAGAAACAAGUUGCCCUGCUUGAUCUGAAAACAGCAAGUGGGAGAAGACACCAGUGCUCUGUAAACAGCCAUCUCUCCUCCUUUUUUGGAGAGCAGACUGGACAAUCUUUGGAUGACCCAAUGGAUUUCUUGAGGGAAGAAAUGACAAGGAUAAUAAAUGUAUCCCUGGGUCAAGACAGACUUGGACAUUUAUUCUAAACAAUUGCUGCAGCAGCUUCUGGCAGAGACCUGGGUAUAAACACGAAAAAUGAGAUCUUGGCCCAUCUGAAAGCAUCACUGGCUUUAAUGCUCAAAAUGAAGAGGGGAAAAAAAAUCCUUCUGGGU
This is a long non-coding RNA of Strigops habroptila (Kakapo), 1778 nucleotides long. NCBI's taxonomy places the organism in Eukaryota, Metazoa, Chordata, Aves, Psittaciformes, Psittacidae. The record is from Ensembl.